GACGAACCGUGCGAACGUUAUUCGGAAUCACUGGGCUUAAAGCGCGUGUAGGCGGAUCGGUGCGUCGGCACCUGAAAGCCCCCGGCUCAACCGGGGAACGAGGUCCGAAACGACCGGUCUCGAGGGACGUAGGGGGAUCUGGAACUUCCGGUGGAGCGGUGAAAUGCGUUGAGAUCGGAAGGAACGCCCGUGGCGAAAGCGAGAUCCUGGACGUCUUCUGACGCUGAGACGCGAAAGCUAGGGGAGCGAA
Molecule: ribosomal RNA, 250 nt
Filed under: uncultured bacterium
Lineage: Bacteria
Description: partial 16S ribosomal RNA
Rfam family: Bacterial small subunit ribosomal RNA
Source: RNAcentral